This 275-nucleotide long non-coding RNA is filed under the name Physcomitrium patens. RNAcentral describes it as "long non-coding RNA (PPAT_LNC013731)". Lineage: Eukaryota; Viridiplantae; Streptophyta; Bryopsida; Funariales; Funariaceae. The record is from RNAcentral.
ACCUUGUGGUCUUCUCUCACGUGUUGGAUAUCUUCUUUCAUGCAAAGAGGAUGAGCCUUCAUGCACCUCUUGCUGCCUUAUAUGGCUCAUAGAGUUCCUUCUCUCACUCCUUGGUUGGUAUUCUUCAUCUUCAUUCUCUUCAUUGUCCUUGUUGUAUCUUGCUGGAAUUGAAGUCUUCAUAGUAUUGGACUCUUCUAUCAUGGCAUCUUCCCCUCCUUCUUCACUUUGAGAAUGCUCUUCUUCAUCUUCUUGUUUGUUUGUUGGAAUUGAAGAUG